Andrographis paniculata is the source of this 750-nucleotide long non-coding RNA. RefSeq lists it as uncharacterized. NCBI's taxonomy places the organism in Eukaryota, Viridiplantae, Streptophyta, Magnoliopsida, Lamiales, Acanthaceae. The record is from RefSeq and is a predicted model, not a curated record. The transcript is spliced from 5 exons.
CUCCCCCUCACGCUGUUCUCCUCCCUCGCAUAUCGCUGUUCUCCCCCCUCCUUGCGCCGACAUGACCAUCAUCGUCAAAUUGGUUGGAUUGACAAGCUAUUCCGGCGCCGGCGUUCAGGUUCAUACGGACUAGUAGAUUUGGGGAGUGGCUUAGGGUAUGGCAUGAUUGCUUUCUCUUUGUUCAGUUCCUUGGGCUCCUGGUGGUUCUAAAGUUUUCCGAAACCCAGCACCACCUUCUGGAUCAAGGCGAAGGGGAAGGACCCCGACAAUUUAGAGAUUUGGAUAUCCAGUUGGAUACAAGCCAAGGGAGCAGACAAUUAACAAACCGAAGAUAUAUUGACAUAUUUGCAGAAUGAGCUAAACAAGAUUCCCUCGGAAGGGCGGACUCCGGCUGUUCGAGAGACUCUUUACUGACGGGCUAUUGGGGGAAAGAGCAAAAAGCGCUCAAAGGUUUACAGUGCCACGAGUUCAGCUCAUCCCCGUAAUGAUGCAACUGAUUUAACAAAUAAUGUAGCAUUCCAGCAAGGGUGGGAAGAAAUGUAGAGCGGAUUUGCAGAGUUGAAGACAACGAUGGCUGAGUUCAAAACCAUCAAGGCUGAUGUGUAUGCAUUCAUGCACAAAAAAUCCGGAGUAGUUAGUGGUCCAUCUCUAAGUAUUCUUAAUAUUCACUAGGAUCUACUUAUUCUUGAUAGGCCACAGCUCGUGUUGAUACGGUCUCUGAAUUCUCAAGCCUGUGUCCGAAUCACCUAU